This is a long non-coding RNA of Gopherus agassizii (Agassiz's desert tortoise), 763 nucleotides long. NCBI's taxonomy places the organism in Eukaryota, Metazoa, Chordata, Testudines, Testudinidae. The record is from Ensembl.
UGGGUCCUCAUCGCUCCAGAUCUGCUGCUUUCAAAUCGUAUCUGCUAAAUCACUCCCUGAGAGUUCAGACCGCUUUCAUCAACAUGAAACAAAUAAGUAAGGAUGACUCCUAUUCUGCACAUCAUGGACCUGACACGAAGCCUAAACUGCAGCGGUCCUUAACUGUAGGAGAUGCAGAAAAAGUACCAGGUAUGAAAUGCAACCGAUCAAAGUCUAUGAUCUUCAGCUCCCCUCUACAGCCUGGCAGCACUGAAUUGGUUAAUGAAGAAGGAACCGGAAAAGGGUCACAUGCAGAAAUGUAAGAGUACAUGCUUCUGGCCUCUGUUCCCUGGCUGUGUAGAAGAAAAUCUGUUCACCUUAGUUUAGAAAGGAGUCAGCAACGUGAUGCUGUUGUAAAUAAGACUAUGUGUACAGUGGGCUGUAAUAAUAAGUAUAUUACAUAUAGGGGAAGCAACCUGCUCUAUGUCAGUUAGAUCUCUGUUAGAACAUUGAUUUCGUUGCAGGACACCCCAUUUUUAAAGAGAGAUAAAGAAACAGCAGAGAAUUCAGAGGAGAGCAGCAGCAAUGAAGGAUAAAAGUCAGAGGGAAGCUUAAGAGAAAUUAGCAUGUUUAGUCUGAAAAAGGCAGAGGGAAAAAUGCUGUAAGUGCAAGUACAAAAACGGAUAUUUAAAAAAAGAAUAGGGAUCAAUUAUUCUCUGGAGUCAGUGGGGACACAAUGAGCAGCAGGGAAGAUUUAGAUUAAAUGUUAAGAAAAACUUUAUAA